RNAcentral lists this ribosomal RNA (677 nucleotides) under Bacillus subtilis. RNAcentral's name for it is "bacterial SSU rRNA". It matches the Rfam family "Bacterial small subunit ribosomal RNA", at positions 41 to 700 of the family's 1533-position model. Lineage: Bacteria; Bacillati; Bacillota; Bacilli; Caryophanales; Bacillaceae. The record is from RNAcentral.
GGCGUGCCUAAUACAUGCAAGUCGAGCGGACAGAUGGGAGCUUGCUCCCUGAUGUUAGCGGCGGACGGGUGAGUAACACGUGGGUAACCUGCCUGUAAGACUGGGAUAACUCCGGGAAACCGGGGCUAAUACCGGAUGGUUGUUUGAACCGCAUGGUUCAAACAUAAAAGGUGGCUUCGGCUACCACUUACAGAUGGACCCGCGGCGCAUUAGCUAGUUGGUGAGGUAACGGCUCACCAAGGCAACGAUGCGUAGCCGACCUGAGAGGGUGAUCGGCCACACUGGGACUGAGACACGGCCCAGACUCCUACGGGAGGCAGCAGUAGGGAAUCUUCCGCAAUGGACGAAAGUCUGACGGAGCAACGCCGCGUGAGUGAUGAAGGUUUUCGGAUCGUAAAGCUCUGUUGUUAGGGAAGAACAAGUACCGUUCGAAUAGGGCGGUACCUUGACGGUACCUAACCAGAAAGCCACGGCUAACUACGUGCCAGCAGCCGCGGUAAUACGUAGGUGGCAAGCGUUGUCCGGAAUUAUUGGGCGUAAAGGGCUCGCAGGCGGUUUCUUAAGUCUGAUGUGAAAGCCCCCGGCUCAACCGGGGAGGGUCAUUGGAAACUGGGGAACUUGAGUGCAGAAGAGGAGAGUGGAAUUCCACGUGUAGCGGUGAAAUGCGUAGAGAUGUG